CAGAGGGGCAAGCGUUGUUCGGAAUUACUGGGCGUAAAGGGCGCGUAGGCGGCCUUCUAAGUCGAACGUGAAAUCCCCGGGCUCAACCCGGGAACUGCGUCCGAUACUGGAAGGCUUGAAUCCGGGAGAGGGAUGCGGAAUUCCAGGUGUAGCGGUGAAAUGCGUAGAUAUCUGGAGGAACACCGGUGGCGAAGGCGGCAUCCUGGACCGGCAUUGACGCUGAGGCGCGAAAGCCAGGGGAGCAAACGGGAUUAGAUACCCCGGUAGUCCUGGCCCUAAACGAUGAAUGCUUGGUGUGGCGGGUAUCGAUCCCUGCCGUGCCGAAGCUAACGCAUUAAGCAUUCCGCCUGGGGAGUACGGUCGCAAGGCUG
Molecule: ribosomal RNA, 371 nt
Filed under: uncultured organism
Description: bacterial SSU rRNA
Rfam family: Bacterial small subunit ribosomal RNA
Source: RNAcentral